This 252-nucleotide ribosomal RNA is filed under the name uncultured bacterium. Its description in RNAcentral is "partial 16S ribosomal RNA". It matches the Rfam family "Bacterial small subunit ribosomal RNA", at positions 524 to 776 of the family's 1533-position model. The record is from RNAcentral.
UACGGAGGAUGCGAGCGUUAUCCGGAUUUAUUGGGUUUAAAGGGUGCGUAAGCGGACGCUUAAGUCAGCGGUAAAAUUGCGGGGCUCAACCUCGUCGAGCCGUUGAAACUGGGUGUCUUGAGUGGGCGAGAAGUACGCGGAAUGCGUGGUGUAGCGGUGAAAUGCAUAGAUAUCACGCAGAACUCCGAUUGCGAAGGCAGCGUACCGGCGCCCAACUGACGCUGAAGCACGAAGGCGUGGGUAUCGAACAGG